RNAcentral lists this ribosomal RNA (581 nucleotides) under Staphylococcus aureus. Its description in RNAcentral is "partial 23S ribosomal RNA". It matches the Rfam family "Bacterial large subunit ribosomal RNA", at positions 1103 to 1685 of the family's 2925-position model. The record is from RNAcentral. Lineage: Bacteria; Bacillati; Bacillota; Bacilli; Caryophanales; Staphylococcaceae.
GGCUUAGAAGCAGCCAUCAUUUAAAGAGUGCGUAAUAGCUCACUAGUCGAGUGACACUGCGCCGAAAAUGUACCGGGGCUAAACAUAUUACCGAAGCUGUGGAUUGUCCUUUGGACAAUGGUAGGAGAGCGUUCUAAGGGCGUUGAAGCAUGAUCGUAAGGACAUGUGGAGCGCUUAGAAGUGAGAAUGCCGGUGUGAGUAGCGAAAGACGGGUGAGAAUCCCGUCCACCGAUUGACUAAGGUUUCCAGAGGAAGGCUCGUCCGCUCUGGGUUAGUCGGGUCCUAAGCUGAGGCCGACAGGCGUAGGCGAUGGAUAACAGGUUGAUAUUCCUGUACCACCUAUAAUCGUUUUAAUCGAUGGGGGGACGCAGUAGGAUAGGCGAAGCGUGCGAUUGGAUUGCACGUCUAAGCAGUAAGGCUGAGUAUUAGGCAAAUCCGGUACUCGUUAAGGCUGAGCUGUGAUGGGGAGAAGACAUUGUGUCUUCGAGUCGUUGAUUUCACACUGCCGAGAAAAGCCUCUAGAUAGAAAAUAGGUGCCCGUACCGCAAACCGACACAGGUAGUCAAGAUGAGAAUUCUAAG